AGUAAGGAUAGAGGCGCAAAGACCAUUAUUACAUAAUAUGAGGAUGAUGAGAUCCUAAGAUUAUUAUGGAAAGGGGAAUUUGCCGAAGCUUUAAGACUCUCACUCAUCUUGAAGCUGGUUCUGACGUUGAAUAAAUGCAGGACUGUCAUAUAGGAAACUAUAUGGAGGGCUAUCUUACGC
This 180-nucleotide non-coding RNA is filed under the name Ureibacillus massiliensis. Its description in RNAcentral is "Lysinibacillus massiliensis Lysine sequence". It matches the Rfam family "Lysine riboswitch aptamer". Rfam says of the family: Riboswitches are metabolite binding domains within certain messenger RNAs that serve as precision sensors for their corresponding targets. Allosteric rearrangement of mRNA structure is mediated by ligand binding, and this results in modulation of gene expression. Lineage: Bacteria; Bacillati; Bacillota; Bacilli; Caryophanales; Caryophanaceae. The record is from RNAcentral. RNAcentral also lists the same sequence under 1 other name.